Molecule: ribosomal RNA, 492 nt
Filed under: uncultured bacterium
Lineage: Bacteria
Description: partial 16S ribosomal RNA
Rfam family: Bacterial small subunit ribosomal RNA
Source: RNAcentral
AGUGAACGCUGGCGGUAGGCCUAACACAUGCAAGUCGAACGGCAGCACAGUAAGAGCUUGCUCUUACGGGUGGCGAGUGGCGGACGGGUGAGGAAUACAUCGGAAUCUACUUUUUCGUGGGGGAUAACGUAGGGAAACUUACGCUAAUACCGCAUACGACCUACGGGUGAAAGCAGGGGAUCUUCGGACCUUGCGCGAUUGAAUGAGCCGAUGUCGGAUUAUCUAGUUGGCGGGGUAAAGGCCCACCAAGGCGACGAUCCGUAGCUGGUCUGAGAGGAUGAUCAGCCACACUGGAACUGAGACACGGUCCAGACUCCUACGGGAGGCAGCAGUGGGGAAUAUUGGACAAUGGGCGCAAGCCUGAUCCAGCCAUACCGCGUGGGUGAAGAAGGCCUUCGGGUUGUAAAGCCCCUUUGUUGGGAAAGAAAAGCAGCAGGUUAAUACCCCGCUGUUCUGACGGUACCCAAAGAAUAAGCACCGGCUAACUUCGUG